AUACCCUAUUAUUUAAGAGCUAAAUAUUGUAAGUAUAUAAUAAUUACGAAAGCAAAAAAUUAUGGCGGUAUUUUAAGCUUUUCAGAGGAAUUUGCUCUUUAAUGGAUAAAACACCUAAAUCUUACUUAAAUUUGUUAAAUCAACUUGUAUACCACUAUUAAAACAAUUAUUAACUCUAAUUAUUAAUAUUUAAAACAUAAAUUAAUUUAAAUUAAGUCAAGGUGCAGUAAAAAUUUAAGAAUGAAGUGAAUUACAUUACUUUUAAGGGAAAUAAAAUUAAAUAAAGUUUAGGAUUUGAAAGUAAAAUUAAAAUAGAAUGUUAAUUUGAAUUAAGCUCUAAAAUAUGUACAUAUCGCCCGUC
RNAcentral lists this ribosomal RNA (361 nucleotides) under Rhipicephalus appendiculatus. RNAcentral's name for it is "partial small subunit ribosomal RNA". Lineage: Eukaryota; Metazoa; Arthropoda; Arachnida; Ixodida; Ixodidae. The record is from RNAcentral.